GAUGAACGCUGGCGGCGUGCUUAACACAUGCAAGUCGAACGAAGCACUUUAUUUGAUUUCCUUCGGGACUGAUUAUUUUGUGACUGAGUGGCGGACGGGUGAGUAACGCGUGGGUAACCUGCCUUGUACAGGGGGAUAACAGUUGGAAACGGCUGCUAAUACCGCAUAAGCGCACAGCAUCGCAUGAUGCAGUGUGAAAAACUCCGGUGGUAUAAGAUGGACCCGCGUUGGAUUAGCUAGUUGGUGAGGUAACGGCCCACCAAGGCGACGAUCCAUAGCCGACCUGGGAGGGGGACCGGCCACAUUGGGAAUGAGACACGGCCCAAACUCCUACGGGAGGCAGCAGUGGGGAAUAUUGCACAAUGGGCGAAAGCCUGAUGCAGCGACGCCGCGUGAGCGAAGAAGUAUUUCGGUAUGUAAAGCUCUAUCAGCAGGGAAGAUAAUGACGGUACCUGACUAAGAAGCACCGGCUAAAUACGUG
Molecule: ribosomal RNA, 481 nt
Filed under: uncultured bacterium
Lineage: Bacteria
Description: partial 16S ribosomal RNA
Rfam family: Bacterial small subunit ribosomal RNA
Source: RNAcentral